RNAcentral lists this non-coding RNA (812 nucleotides) under Alpheus bellulus. Lineage: Eukaryota; Metazoa; Arthropoda; Malacostraca; Decapoda; Alpheidae. The record is from RNAcentral.
UAAGAGUUUGAUUCUUGCUUGGCCUUUAAUGUUUCGGUUAGGGCACAUGAAAGUUUAAGCUGAGUUAGGGUGAAGAUAAUUUAGUUAGAGCGAUGGGCUUGUUCUCAGUGCAUAGGAUUGGAUCUAUGAGGUGUUCUUUGAGCCAGUAAUCAAGUGUUAGUCCAGGCUAAAAUUGUGCCAGCAGCCGCGGUUAUACUGAUAGGGCAGUUGUAGGUCUGUCGUGAUUGGGAGUAUUGGAUGGGCCCAGGAGGGUUGGAUUCAUUAGGAUUAAAGGGUGAAAUUUAUUAGUCGUUAGUGUGGUCAGCUUGAGGUGGGGGGUCUUGAAUUUCUGAAGUCUGAGGUAUAGAGCAGGAUUAGAUACCCUGUUAUGCUUAGUAGAAAUUAGUUGGAUCUUUGGGUAGUAAACAGGUAUAGUCUCGAAACUCAAAGAAUUUGGCGGCAUCUAAGUCUAGUUAGAGGAACUUGUGCAGUGAACGAUAAUCCACGAGAAUCUUGCCCUAUUUUGUAAUUUUCAGUUUGUAUACCGCCAUUAUUAGGUAAUCUUUUUAGAGAGUUAUUGCGAUUAAGUUGGGUUAAGUAUAUUAGGUCAAGGUGCAGCUUAUAGUGGGGUUGUUGUGAGUUACAGUGGUAUAAGAGUUAUACGGAUGGGUCCCGGGAGCGGGGUCUUUAAGGCGGAUUUAAUUGUAAGGGGUGUUUAUCAUGCAUGUACUUGAUAGGAGCUCUUGGAUGUGUACACAUCGCCCGUCGCUCUCACUUUAAGGUGAGGUAAGUCGUAACAUAGUAGGUGUGUUGGAAGGGGCACCUAGAAGUAU